RNAcentral lists this ribosomal RNA (253 nucleotides) under uncultured bacterium. RNAcentral describes it as "partial 16S ribosomal RNA". It matches the Rfam family "Bacterial small subunit ribosomal RNA", at positions 524 to 776 of the family's 1533-position model. The record is from RNAcentral.
UACGAGGGGUGCAAACGUUAUUCGGAAUUACUGGGUGUAAAGGGUGUGUAGACGGCUAUUUAAGUCAAUUGUUAAAUUCCCCAGCUUAACUGGGGGUCAGCGGUUGAAACUAGAUGGCUAGAGGAUGGAAGAGAGAAGUGGAAUUCUCGGAGUAGCGGUAAAAUGCGUAGAUCUCGAGAGGAACACCGAUGGCGAAGGCAGCUUCUUGGUCCAUUUCUGACGUUGAGACACGAAAGCGUGGGGAGCAAACAGG